UUUUUUUUUUUAAAGAAAAAAAAAGACUUUUUUUUUUGGUUUACCUGUGUUACUAGUUUUUCCGUUUCAGAUGGUGUUUAAUUUAUGAGUGUCUUUUUUUUAAAUGACACAACCCGAUCUUGAGCUAGACAUCGCUCAUGGGUUUCCUAGUUUGACCGGAUAUGGCUUUAGGAAGCAUGAAAAUUUAGCCACUUUAUCUGAAUUUCAUGUGUUGCCUUUGUGUUUUCAGCUCAUUUUGCUUGUCCUUUUUGAUAGUAAGAAAUAAGAUGGAUUUGUAGCCAGCUGAAC
This 288-nucleotide unclassified non-coding RNA is filed under the name Hevea brasiliensis (rubber tree). Lineage: Eukaryota; Viridiplantae; Streptophyta; Magnoliopsida; Malpighiales; Euphorbiaceae. The record is from RNAcentral.